RNAcentral lists this ribosomal RNA (433 nucleotides) under uncultured bacterium. Its description in RNAcentral is "partial 16S ribosomal RNA". It matches the Rfam family "Bacterial small subunit ribosomal RNA", at positions 29 to 507 of the family's 1533-position model. The record is from RNAcentral.
AACGAACGCUGGCGGCAUGCCUAACACAUGCAAGUCGAACGAGACCUUCGGGUCUUGUUGCGCUCGGGGGCGUACCGCGUGGGAACCUGCGCUUAGGUUCGGUAUCACUUCCCGAAGGGGGUCCUAAUACCGGAUAAUGUAAUCCGACCAAAGAUUUAUCGCCUUUGGAUGGGCGUGCGUUAGAUUCGAGAGUUGGUAUAGUAAAAGCCUAUCAAGGCGACGAUCCAUAGCUGGUACGAGCGGAUGAUCAGCCACACUGGGAGUGGGACACGGCCGAGACUCUUACGGGAGGAAGCAGGGGUGAAUAUGGGACAAUGGGCGAAAGACUGAGCCAGCAAUGUCGCGUGAGUGAUGAAGGAGUGAGGGUUGUAAAGCUGUGUGAAAAGGGAUGAUAAUGACAGUACCGGGAGAAUAAGCGCCGGCUAACUACGUG